GGGGGAACUGAAACAUCUAAGUACCCCGAGGAAAAGAAAUCAACCGAGAUUCCGAAAGUAGCGGCGAGCGAAAUUGGACUAGCCCUUAAGCUUUACACGCGUUAGACGAACGGUCUGGAAAGUCCGACGAUACAGGGUGAUAGUCCCGUAGUUGACGACGUGUGUUCAGUGAAAUCGAGUAGGGCGGGACACGUGAUAUCCUGUCUGAAUAUGGGGGGACCAUCCUCCAAGGCUAAAUACUACUGACUGACCGAUAGUGAACCAGUACCGUGAGGGAAAGGCGAAAAGAACCCCUGUGAGGGGAGUGAAAUAGAACCUGAAACCGUGUACGUACAAGCAGUAGGAGCACCUUCGUGGUGUGACUGCGUACCUUUUGUAUAAUGGGUCAGCGACUUAUAUUCAGUGGCAAGGUUAACCAUCUAGGGGAGCCGUAGGGAAACCGAGUCUUAACUGGGCGUUCAGUCUCUGGAUAUAGACCCGAAACCAGGUGAUCUAGCCAUGGGCAGGUUGAAGGUUGAGUAACAUCAACUGGAGGACCGAACCGACUAAUGUUGAAAAAUUAGCGGAUGACUUGUGGCUAGGGGUGAAAGGCCAAUCAAACCUGGAGAUAGCUGGUUCUCCCCGAAAGCUAUUUAGGUAGCGCCUCGGACGAAUACUACUGGGGGUAGAGCACUGUUAAGGCUAGGGGGUCAUCCCGACUUACCAACCCUUUGCAAACUCCGAAUACCAGUAAGUACUAUCCGGGAGACACACGGCGGGUGCUAACGUCCGUCGUGGAGAGGGAAACAACCCAGACCGCCAGCUAAGGUCCCAAAUUACUACUAAGUGGGAAACGAUGUGGGAAGGCUCAGACAGCCAGGAUGUUGGCUUAGAAGCAGCCAUCAUUUAAAGAAAGCGUAAUAGCUCACUGGUCGAGUCGGCCUGCGCGGAAGAUGUAACGGGGCUAAGUAGUAAACCGAAGCUGCGGCAAUGUGCUUUUGCACAUUGGGUAGGGGAGCGUUCUGUAAGCGGUUGAAGGUGUGUGGUAACGCAUGCUGGACGUAUCAGAAGUGCGAAUGCUGACAUGAGUAACGAUAAAGGGGGUGAAAAACCUCCUCGCCGGAAGACCAAGGGUUCCUGUCCAACGUUAAUCGGGGCAGGGUAAGUCGACCCCUAAGGCGAGGCCGAAAGGCGUAGUCGAUGGGAAACGGGUUAAUAUUCCCGUACUUCUUACAAUUGCGAUGGGGGGACGGAGAAGGCUAGGUGGGCCUGGCGACGGUUGUCCAGGUUCAAGUGCGUAGGCUUAAGAGUUAGGUAAAUCCGGCUCUUUUUAAGGCUGAGACACGACGUCGAGCACCUACGGGUGUGAAGUCAUUGAUGCCAUGCUUCCAGGAAAAGCCUCUAAGCUUCAGAUUGUAAGGAAUCGUACCCCAAACCGACACAGGUGGUCGGGUAGAGAAUACCAAGGCGCUUGAGAGAACUCGGGUGAAGGAACUAGGCAAAAUGGUACCGUAACUUCGGGAGAAGGUACGCUCUCGACGGUGAAGUCCCUUGCGGAUGGAGCUAUUGAGAGUCGCAGAUACCAGGUGGCUGCAACUGUUUAUUAAAAACACAGCACUGUGCAAAAUCGUAAGAUGACGUAUACGGUGUGACGCCUGCCCGGUGCCGGAAGGUUAAUUGAUGGGGUUAGACUUCGGUCGAAGCUCUUGAUCGAAGCCCCGGUAAACGGCGGCCGUAACUAUAACGGUCCUAAGGUAGCGAAAUUCCUUGUCGGGUAAGUUCCGACCUGCACGAAUGGCGUAAUGAUGGCCACGCUGUCUCCACCCGAGACUCAGUGAAAUUGAAAUCGCUGUGAAGAUGCAGUGUACCCGCGGCUAGACGGAAAGACCCCGUGAACCUUUACUACAGCUUGGCACUGAACAUUGACCCUACAUGUGUAGGAUAGGUGGGAGGCUUUGAAGCAAGUACGCCAGUAUUUGUGGAGCCGUCCUUGAAAUACCACCCUUGUAGUGUUGAUGUUCUAACGUCGACCCCUAAUCGGGGUUGCGGACAGUGCCUGGUGGGUAGUUUGACUGGGGCGGUCUCCUCCCAAAGAGUAACGGAGGAGCACGAAGGUGGGCUAAUCACGGUUGGACAUCGUGAGGUUAGUGCAAUGGCAUAAGCCCGCUUGACUGCGAGAAUGACAAUUCGAGCAGGUGCGAAAGCAGGUCAUAGUGAUCCGGUGGUUCUGAAUGGAAGGGCCAUCGCUCAACGGAUAAAAGGUACUCCGGGGAUAACAGGCUGAUACCGCCCAAGAGUUCAUAUCGACGGCGGUGUUUGGCACCUCGAUGUCGGCUCAUCACAUCCUGGGGCUGAAGUCGGUCCCAAGGGUAUGGCUGUUCGCCAUUUAAAGUGGUACGCGAGCUGGGUUUAGAACGUCGUGAGACAGUUCGGUCCCUAUCUGCCGUGGGCGUUGGAAGAUUGAAGGGGGCUGCUCCUAGUACGAGAGGACCGGAG
This 2475-nucleotide ribosomal RNA is filed under the name Vibrio parahaemolyticus. RNAcentral's name for it is "partial 23S ribosomal RNA". It matches the Rfam family "Bacterial large subunit ribosomal RNA", at positions 186 to 2697 of the family's 2925-position model. The record is from RNAcentral. Lineage: Bacteria; Pseudomonadati; Pseudomonadota; Gammaproteobacteria; Vibrionales; Vibrionaceae.